AUACGUAGGUGGCAAGCGUUGUCCGGAAUUAUUGGGCGUAAAGCGCGCGCAGGUGGUUCCUUAAGUCUGAUGUGAAAGCCCACGGCUCAACCGUGGAGGGUCAUUGGAAACUGGGGAACUUGAGUGCAGAAGAGGAAAGUGGAAUUCCAAGUGUAGCGGUGAAAUGCGUAGAGAUUUGGAGGAACACCAGUGGCGAAGGCGACUUUCUGGUCUGUAACUGACACUGAGGCGACGAAAGCGGUGGGGAGAC
Molecule: ribosomal RNA, 250 nt
Filed under: uncultured bacterium
Lineage: Bacteria
Description: partial 16S ribosomal RNA
Rfam family: Bacterial small subunit ribosomal RNA
Source: RNAcentral